ACAUAUCCACCAUUAACAAAUCUAACUGUUCAUAUUCUAAUCUAAUCCAACGUCACCCGUCCCGUACUUCUUCGGAGGUUUGGCUGCCUAAGUGGGUCUCAUUGCUUUUGGUUUCUUGUUUAUUUAUUUGCACCUACUUAAAUGUUACCGAAGAGGAGCAGAUUGACGGCGACGUACAGAGAAACCUUGAAGCCGGAGAUGCGGAAUCCGAUAAUCAGAGCCGUCGUUUGAUUUGUUUUCGUUGUCGUUUGCAGGCCAACCCGAUUCCUCACCUAAUCUAUUUUCUCUAUCAAAUUCAUACUAUCCAUUUCGUUUAUCCUAAUUCGUGAAUUGAAAUAUCUGUCUAAUCGAAAAACCCUAGUUUUUCCUCUUGGCAUCCGUUUCAUUGUAUGUCGAAGAUUACUUGAUCGUGCGUAUAUUCGUAAACACAGAAAGUAUACAGGUCGAAAUUGGAGUUGACAAACAACAGAAAUGGUUAAAUUCAUUUGGGUUCUUGUCAAUCUUCUAUUCAUAUUGAUUACCGGAUGUGAUUUGAGUUAUGAAAUGCUGCGACUGAGGGGAUUCCAAAUUGUGGGGCAAUGGAAUUCAUUACAAAAGGAGACAUGAUUUAUAUACCUUAUUGGGUAUUGAUGGAAACAUUUAAUUCUUGCUCAUGUAGAUUGAUAAAUAUUUUACAAUAUGUUCUUUUAACCUUAUAUUAGGACCUUUUUUUGGAAAAAAAUUGUUUUUAAUGUUGAACUUUGAAAAAAAAUGUUCAUAUAUAGCA
This is a long non-coding RNA of Lactuca sativa (garden lettuce), 766 nucleotides long. RefSeq lists it as uncharacterized. NCBI's taxonomy places the organism in Eukaryota, Viridiplantae, Streptophyta, Magnoliopsida, Asterales, Asteraceae. The record is from RefSeq and is a predicted model, not a curated record.